UCUCCGUUGGUGAACCAGCGGAGGGAUCAUUACAGGACUCGCAAGACUCCUUCACCCUGUGAACCUCACUACAAGCACGUUGCUUCGGCGGGUGUCCCGGCGGGGGUUUUCCCUCGCCGGGGCGCACAGCCCGCCGGCAGCCUACUAUACUCUGUCUCUUUGCGUUGGCAUCUCAAGAAAAAACAAACAAGUUAAAACUUUCAACAACGGAUCUCUUGGUUCUG
This 224-nucleotide unclassified non-coding RNA is filed under the name plant metagenome. RNAcentral's name for it is "partial contains small subunit ribosomal RNA, internal transcribed spacer 1, and 5.8S ribosomal RNA". The record is from RNAcentral.